Panicum virgatum (switchgrass) is the source of this 1676-nucleotide long non-coding RNA. RefSeq lists it as uncharacterized. NCBI's taxonomy places the organism in Eukaryota, Viridiplantae, Streptophyta, Magnoliopsida, Poales, Poaceae. The record is from RefSeq and is a predicted model, not a curated record. The transcript is spliced from 3 exons.
UUUCCGGCCCGGGUGAGCCCAAUAUCCCCGCGGAAUCGCGCCCGGCCUACAGACAUCGGGGAGAACUCCCCGUCCCCCACUCGUCGCUUCGCUCCUCUUGCCCCGCGAGGUCAAGCGGGGGAGCGCCGCCACCGCCACCUGAUCUCCUCCGACGAGCUCGCAACGGCAAGCUUCUCCUCCGCCAGUUUCUACCUCCUCCUCCUCCGCAUCAGAUCUUGCAAAAAUUCGCGGCCGGGGGAGCCCUACGGCGGCUGGGAGGGACCGGACGUCGAGCUCCGGGGCCAUUUCGUAGGUCAUUGUUGCUGAUAAUUUCUUCACUGGUUCAAAAGACAACCUGAAGAAGUGGAUCGGCCACCCAAGAUUUGAGCUCAUCCGUCACGGUAAAAUAACCAGUAGUUAACUAUGCAUUUUAUAGGCAUUUGCUAGUAGGUCUAUGCAUUGCCACAAAUUGAAUCAUGGUUAGUCAAUGACAAUUGAAGUACAAUGCAAUUAUUGUGCCGUAUAUUCAAUGCUUGUCCAAUAGCAUAACCCGAGUUGUCUGUUGACUGAAUUAACUUUCUUUUUCUCUUAAUUGGUGAUUGACUGUUGAUUUGGAACCUGCUAAUGACAACUCAUAUUCGGAGUACAAGCAUGUGCAUUCAAGUUAUUUUUUCUGACACUGGUUGUAACUUUCUUCAUUUUUUAUCAUGAAAAUGUGAUGACGGGACAGAUCAUAUACUCAGAUUGAUAGUGUUCAUCAUGUCAUGGGAAAACAGUAUUGUUUAGCAAAUUUUCGGAUAGAUCAAGGGCUUGUCUUGGUUCAUGAGGCCUGCUUUAUUUUUUUUAAGGAAAGUAGGUCUGCUUUAAUUUGGAAUGUAGGAAAUAGGUAGAGGAGUUUAGCAGAAUUGAAUUCUCACAGGAAAAUUUUCUGGGAGGGCCUUUGUAAUGAAAAGGAAAGCAAAUUCACAUGUGUCCGACCUCAUACUAGUUUUCUCCAUUGUGCAUUGGGUAGCAAUCCUUUUCAUGUUGUUUCGCAUCCAAUUAUAUAUAGGUAAUUUGCUUGAAGUGUGUGUCCAAUUAUAUAUAGGCAGCUGCUCUUAUACUAUUUAUCCUACUUGAAGUAUGUGUCAAUUUGUGUUAACUGCACAGUGCUUAGUGGAAGUGCGAGAUAUGAAAACUGAAGAAACAGGUACGCUCUUUUCAGCUAUAAAAUGCACUGUCAUUGAUUGCAGAAAUAGAUGCAUAAUUGGUGUUUGUGUUUCCCUGAAAUUGACAAACACCAAUUAUUAUCUGCAUUUUAGUAGUCAAACACCUUUCAACUUCUGAUCCACAGAUCAAAUGCCAUUUCUUUGAUGUCUUGCAUUAUCAGUUUGCAGAAUUACCUUUGGAACAUCUGGAGAAGGACAAUGCAGUGGCAAGGCCUACGGAAGCAUGUCAAAAGGAGUUUCAUCAUUUGUUUUGAAGAAACCUCUAUUCCAUUUUAUUUAUCCACAUGAUUUUUCUUUGGUUUUCCCGGAAGAAACUACUACCUAGCUAGUAAUUAUCUCCAAGGUCUGUAAUUCAUUAUUUGGUCAAAGUAGUUUGUAAUAUAGGAUUCACAUGGUGUGAAUCAUUUUGGACAUGUCUCAUCGUGACUAUGUUGGUGCUAGUCGAGAUGGAUUAAGCUUAUAUGGAAUAGCAUAUGCUUGUUACCCCAA